GUGCUCGCUUUGGCAGCACAUAUACUAAAAUUGAAACAGAAUAUUAGCAUGGCCCCUGCACAGGAAUGACACACAAAUUUGUGAAACAUAAAAAAACAAC
Molecule: small nuclear RNA, 100 nt
Organism: Myotis lucifugus (little brown bat)
Lineage: Eukaryota; Metazoa; Chordata; Mammalia; Chiroptera; Vespertilionidae
Source: Ensembl